Molecule: long non-coding RNA, 540 nt
Filed under: Callithrix jacchus (white-tufted-ear marmoset)
Lineage: Eukaryota; Metazoa; Chordata; Mammalia; Primates; Cebidae
Description: lncRNA (ENSCJAG00000085890.1)
Source: RNAcentral
GAGAAAAGGUCAUGGGAGCAGAAUGCAGCAGCUGCCAGCAAUAACCCACGGGUCUUAGAAACUCUCCUCAGGCCAUGGGUGCUGGGGGCUUUGGCUGGGCCUGCUAGGAUGAGGGAAAUUCACCCAAGAGGGUGAAAACCUACCAGUGACUGUUAUUUAUUCUUUGUGCUAAGAAUGUAUUCAAGUCUAUAAAUGUACUUAGUUUUUUAAAAAUCAGCAAAACAGCUUAAAAUCUGUUUGGACGAAUUGGGGCCCAAAGGUAACCUCUGGCGUGUAUUUUCAGAGCAGUUUUCCACUUCAUCGUGACAGACAUUUGAGUUUCUGGGAAAAUAUAAUCCAUAUGUUUCUGGGCCAUUUAUCCUGGAAACCUUGGGAAGACUUGCUUUGUCAGCACCGAGGGAGGGAGAAGAAAUGCAGGAGAUCUCACCACCCGUCCUUUCUCGGAUGCUUGGAAGUCUUAACAUGGCCCUGCAUACAAAAUAAUAUCCUCUGGCCACACAAAGCAAGUUAAGAAGAAAUGGAAGAAAAGAAGCUCUACAC